CAGGACAUAAUUUAAUAAGAAUAUUGGCUUUGGGGGUCAAUAGUAGAGGUUAAAGUCCUUUUGUCUUGA
RNAcentral lists this transfer RNA (69 nucleotides) under Otophryne sp. AF3571. RNAcentral describes it as "tRNA-Pro". It matches the Rfam family "tRNA". From Rfam's summary of the family: Transfer RNA (tRNA) molecules are approximately 80 nucleotides in length. Their secondary structure includes four short double-helical elements and three loops (D, anti-codon, and T loops). Further hydrogen bonds mediate the characteristic L-shaped molecular structure. tRNAs have two regions of fundamental functional importance: the anti-codon, which is responsible for specific mRNA codon recognition, and the 3' end, to which the tRNAs corresponding amino acid is attached (by aminoacyl-tRNA synthetases). tRNAs cope with the degeneracy of the genetic code in two manners: having more than one tRNA (with a specific anti-codon) for a particular amino acid; and 'wobble' base-pairing, i.e. permitting non-standard base-pairing at the 3rd anti-codon position. Lineage: Eukaryota; Metazoa; Chordata; Amphibia; Anura; Microhylidae. The record is from RNAcentral.